GAGUGCAGAGAAGUACAACCAAACUAGUUAGAGGGAUAGAAGACUUAAAUUAUGAGAGUAGACUGUCAAGUUUGGGGUUGUUUCACUGGAAAAAAGACACUUGCGAGGGGACAUUAUGGGGCAUUAUUUAAGGUUUAAUUUUCGAAUUUGUUUUUUUUGUCAAAACUCACAAUUUCGAGUUUAAAACCACCAACUUUGUGGAAUUUGAAUAUGAGAUUUAUCACACCUCAACCCCGGAAACAGCUCUAAUUUGUAACUUCGCCACCUAAAAACUACCAAGUUCAUGUACAAGUCAAUGGCAGAGGUCCAUUGAACCAUUUGAAGUUGUUUAUAUCCUUCCUGACAUUCAAGGCCUUUUCCAGGAAAACUUGAUUAACAUUUGAUUCAAAUUUUACAAACAUUUUCUUUCAUGUUUUUUACAGAAAGCAAACAAUGUUUCAGAAGAUUGUUGACCAAUCAAAAACUUAUGAAGAUGGGCAAAAGUGGAUUGAAUAUUUACCUUUGGAAACAACAAGGAAAGAAAUUGUUAUGAAUUUGCACGCUUCCAUGAAGAAAUACAGCCAAUGUUAGAUGGUUUGUUAAAUAACAGGAAGGAAUGGAAGGCUCUUGCUGAUGAAUAUGAAGCCAAAGUAAAAGCAAUCAAUGGAGAGAAGAAAAAGACAGUAGAGGAACUCGCUGCAAGAAAAGCUGCAGCUGGGGCAAACGCUGCCAAAUCUUCAACCUGUUCAAUAUGUUAGACUAAACCUGCAUGGUAUCUGCAUCAAACAGAAGAAACAAUUGCAGCAAUUAUAUAAGAUUUAUAAGAUGCUGCCAAUAUGUACUGUAUAAAAUGUAUUCCUGUUCUCAGGAACUCAUAUUGAAGUCUAUUUAUCAAUUUGUAGAACUUGAUAAAUUACAUUUAUCUGCAAAAAAAAAGUGAUUAACCUUGAUCGUGUUUUUCUUGAUGACAAAACCAAUUGUGCUAAAGAAUAAUUCUUUAAAUAAAAAAACACAAAUUGAAAAACAAACAUGUUAAUUCGCUGAAAACUCAUUUGCAUUCACUUUUUUUAUUCAAAUUUUCUUAUCAUUAGAAAAUUCAUCUCAAAUUUAAAUAGACCCCUACCUCUAGUAGCAAAGUAAACUCAUAAUAAAAAUUAUCAAUGAUAUUUAUGUCACUAUUUUGAUGAUUUGAUCUUUUUAGUAAUUGAUUUAAUUGAAUAGUAGUUAUAAAAAAAUGGUAAGUAUGCUUUGAUUAUUUGAAUGUCUAUGGAUGUUGUUAGAUCUUUGUUUUUUUUUUCUUUAUUUCAAGUGUGAGACAUCACAAAAAAAUGUUACAUUGCUCCUUCAAUACAUCAUAGUUUCAAUGACACUUUUUUCUUCACCAGAAAUUUUUUUUGAGUUGUAAUUAUAGGCUUAUAUUUACUAACUGAACUUGAGAAUACUUCAGUGAAUACACUGAUUUUCAUAAAAGAACUUGUUUUUUUCUGCACUUGAAUACUCUGGUAUGCUAGAGAAUGACAUCUGAAAACAAAAAUAAAACGCUUGCAAGGUUUUAGGUGAAAAACUUUUACUAAACAUGCCCCAUAUUGCAAUUAAACAUGUUGUUCUUAGAGCAAUAUGCUGAGAUGCUGGGGGUAUGGGGAAUCUCUUUUUAAAGUUCACUGCAUUUAAAUGCCAAGAAAUAUAGGAUGUCCAGUCUCUAUCAAUUAAACCUUUCAGAAAACAGUUAGGGGCAGAUUCACUAAGGGUCGAAUUUCGAAGUAAAAAAU
This is a long non-coding RNA of Xenopus laevis (African clawed frog), 1748 nucleotides long. RefSeq lists it as uncharacterized. The transcript has 3 exons. Lineage: Eukaryota; Metazoa; Chordata; Amphibia; Anura; Pipidae. The record is from RefSeq and is a predicted model, not a curated record.